CCCCAAUCGGUGAGACAGGUAGGGCUGCGUCUCUCCCUCGCAUCUCUCUCUCGUGUUGACGCCGCCGCCCCCUCCCCUUCUCUUCGUUGCCUUCCCUCGCGCCGCCGCCCUCCGAGAAGCAACACGGCCACUACUGCUCCGCGUCGGGCCGAGCUUGCCACCGCCGCCGCUCUCCGCGUCGAGCUUGCCACCGCCGCCGCUCUCCCCGUCGUGCUCGUCCCUCACCACCGGCCCUCGGGUUGUGGAGGGGCAACAGGCAGCGGUGGAAGAGGAGAUCGACCACCAACCGCUGCCGCCCGUCCUCCUGCUUCGCCAUCAACGGGAGGAGGACCGGAGCGUGUCCUCAAGUUCGUGCUCCUCCGGGAAGAGGGCAAACCGAGAGCCAGGCAACUGUGGGAACAAGGAGAUGAGUUUCGUGGAGACGGUGAGCAGAACGGAGACAAGGAUGGCGACUUGAUGCUCCUUGGAGACGUCCUCUGGAGGUGAUUUUUCUGGGCCUUUUGUUUACUAUAUAUCAAUUGGAUCCGCAUGCAGCUGCUAUUCGUGUUGUUGUUCAGCUAUGUCAUGUUGUUUAGGUUCAUAUAUACACUACUCAAUUAGGUUCAUGAGAUCGUUCACUGUUGGACUGGGUGCCAUGGGAUCUCAGGUUAUGGAAUUUGGGGUGUUUUGGUUGUCUGAUGCUUUUAGUUUCAACUUAACUUUGCUUUAGAAAUGGUCAAUUGGACAUAACAACUGUUUGUAUAUUAGUGAAAUGUACGGAGUGGGGAUCUCUUUGUUAUUGUGGCAGCUGUUGGAUUGGGUGUUAUGGCAUCUGGUGAUCGGAUGCAGUUAGUCUUGGCUUGUUUUUGCUUGAUAAGUGGCUGAUUUGGGUUUGAUGAAUAGUUUUACUAUUGGCAGUAUAUACGGAAUGUGGACCUCUGGGUUGUCAUCUCAGGUUCAGAUGUUUUGGAUGUUUGGCUGAUCUGACGCUGUUAGUUUCGGCUUAUCUUUGCUCCAAAAAUUGGCAGUAUAUAACGCCCUCACCCCUGCUUAUCUCGCCUAACUCAUUCCUUCUUUCUUGCACUCGAGGAUCGUUGGUGCGUGCUCCCCCUGUUACACGGCGCUUAGGAGAAGGAGAGGCAUGGUCUCCACCAAAAAACAGACGAGGAAGAAGUGAGAUGCUGCUAGCCCCAUGGCCUGCUGCAUCUCCAAUCGGCGCUUGCAACAGGAGAACCACAUCCCUGGCCUCUCCAUGCCCCCCCAAGCGCCAACCUGUAGGCUACAACGACAAGUGCUCGAUGUGCAGCUUAUUUUGUCGACAUCGCGGUUUCAGUUUGCAAUAUUAGACCUACUUGUAUCAAGGGGAAAAUUCUAAUUUCUUUACAGCGGUGUUUGAACAAAAUGGCAUAUUCCGUGGGCUGGAUGAUAGAAGGACAUUUUGUUGAAGCACUCAAGAGGAGUAAUACUAUUGUGAUGCCAACACAUGCGUCUUCGCCGCCGGCCGUAUGCUGCAUCGGCGACUGGCUGCGGCAGCAGAGGAGCGCAUGUUGCCGCCGGCCAUACGCUGCAUAGGUUGCGGCAGCAGAGGACGCAACGCCAUCGAGGGCGCAUGACGCGGAGGCAAGCGGGCAGCUGUCCAUGGGACGUCGCCGUGCUAUAUGCUCUGCUGUGUUCGUGCUCGUGAAGUGUCGAGCUCUCCUUUUGGUUUCAGUUAGGUGCUUUCAGUUCAAUUAGGCUACUGUCAGAUAGAGUGCUUUUAGUUUCAGUUAGUUUAAUAUAUAAAAGGGGACUUUUCUGCAAAUAUUGCUGGGGUGUGGAUGGGACUAUGACCAACGUGGCGUCCAAUGUGGCAAUUGCGGACUCGAUUUGUGUACAAGUGAACCCGCAAAACAUGUUUAGUGACUGGUUUGUCUCAAUUUUCAAGUUUUUUAC
This 1911-nucleotide ribosomal RNA is filed under the name Triticum aestivum (bread wheat). RNAcentral describes it as "partial small subunit ribosomal RNA". The record is from RNAcentral. Lineage: Eukaryota; Viridiplantae; Streptophyta; Magnoliopsida; Poales; Poaceae.